RNAcentral lists this transfer RNA (72 nucleotides) under Closteriopsis acicularis. Its description in RNAcentral is "tRNA-Cys". It matches the Rfam family "tRNA". From Rfam's summary of the family: Transfer RNA (tRNA) molecules are approximately 80 nucleotides in length. The record is from RNAcentral. RNAcentral also lists the same sequence under 2 other names. Lineage: Eukaryota; Viridiplantae; Chlorophyta; Trebouxiophyceae; Chlorellales; Chlorellaceae.
GGCGGUAUAGCCAAGUGGUAAGGCAGGGGAUUGCAAAUCCCCCAUUCCCCAGUUCAAAUCUGGGUGCCGCCU